Molecule: ribosomal RNA, 292 nt
Filed under: uncultured bacterium
Lineage: Bacteria
Description: partial 16S ribosomal RNA
Rfam family: Bacterial small subunit ribosomal RNA
Source: RNAcentral
GUGCCAGCAGCCGCGGUAAUACAGAGGUCCCAAGCGUUGUUCGGAUUCACUGGGCGUAAAGGGUGCGUAGGUGGUGGGGUAAGUCGGAUGUGAAAGCUCGGAGCUCAACUCCGAAAUGGCAUUGGAAACUACCCUGCUAGAGGAUUGGAGGGGGGACUGGAAUACUUGGUGUAGCAGUGAAAUGCGUAGAUAUCAAGUGGAACACCAGUGGCGAAGGCGAGUCCCUGGACAAUACCUGACACUGAGGCACGAAAGCUAGGGGAGCAAACAGGAUUAGAAACCCCCGUAGUCC